AAAGACCGUGAAACCGCUCAGAGUAUAAGCCGAUGGAGCUUGGAAGGCUUCCGCAGUCUCGGGCAUCACAUGUGGUGUUUCGGAAGGCAUGUAGCAAGGUUCGUCAGGCGGAGCAUUGAGUUUGCCGCUUAGCUGUCGUACGGGGAUUCGGUAUGGGGGUCUUAGGCUUCGGCCGAAGGACUACCCGCCGUUUCCUUUAGAAUGGACGUUCAGAGCUGCUUGUGUCUAAUGCGGUUACGCCCACCACGGCACGUUGUGAGGUCACCCACAGGCUCAAACUGCCGAUCGCGCAUCCAGGACGAAAGGCAAGGAUGCGUCUAUCUUUUGCUUCAAACACUUGGCGAAGCAUUGACGUGUGUCUAGUCCUGGGUCGGGCGGCGACCGAGAUAAACCUGGUAUGAUCCUCUUUGCGACGAGCUGCUUUCUGGCCAGGCCAACGUCCGGGCGCUUCCACUUUGCCAGGAAGUGUCUAUCCCAGGCGGUAUGACCCAGCUGCAUUAUGCAAGGUCUCUCAGCCGGGCGUUGGUCUGAGUGGUGUCAAGUCCAGCACCAUCGGUCACGUCUCGAAACACGGGCCAAGGAGCAUAGCAUGUGUGCAAGUCUAAGGGUCUCCUCAAGUACCGGUGAGGGAAAGUUGAAAAGAACCCCGGGAGGGGAGUGAAAUAGAUNCUGAAACCAUGUUGCCUACAAGAAGUCAGAGCCCGUUAAUGGGUGAUGGCGUGCCUUUUGCAGAAUGAGCCGGCGAGUUAUGAUUGCAUGC
Molecule: ribosomal RNA, 760 nt
Filed under: Niphargus sp. ND439
Lineage: Eukaryota; Metazoa; Arthropoda; Malacostraca; Amphipoda; Niphargidae
Description: partial large subunit ribosomal RNA
Rfam family: Bacterial large subunit ribosomal RNA (bases 559-760)
Source: RNAcentral